RNAcentral lists this unclassified non-coding RNA (209 nucleotides) under Hevea brasiliensis (rubber tree). Lineage: Eukaryota; Viridiplantae; Streptophyta; Magnoliopsida; Malpighiales; Euphorbiaceae. The record is from RNAcentral.
AUAUUUACAAUAGUUUCUAUAAUUUAAAUUAUAGAUGAGAAAUGCUUAAAUAAUGGAACAAUCAGAAAUGGCUUAUCUUCUGCGGGAAAAUCGACCAAAAUAAUUAUUUAUACAGAAAAUCCAGAUUAACAGGUUUAAUUGUCGCCAUUUACAAGUCAUAAAGCUUUAAUCACCUAUACAACAUCAUCCAAUGGCUAAACAAUGGGAAA